CCCUUAGCCCGAUGUCUGACCCAUCAGCUGCCUGGGAAGUGUUUGUUCCCUGGAGCCGAACAUGUAAACCUUCGGUGAUUUCUGUGAGAUUUCUGAYGUACUGACGAGAUGCAGUUCCAAAUACUGUUCUGCGGUUUCUCUGACACUGGAAAUGUUGAUGGAACGGAUGAAAGGGAACKAGAGCUACAUUGAUAAGGAAAGCAUUUCUGGUUUCUCAAUCUUUCCCCAAAGUUCACAGAAGGGAAAAUAAGUGGGCAGAUGUUACCUGUGGUGGGUAAAGGGCAUCUGCUCGUUUGCCUGGUGAUGCUAAAGAGAAUUGAAUAGUAAUAAUCAAAAGGAUUAAAAGGACAGCUUUUGUGUGUGUGUGAUCUCCUCCUACUGGGACCUCACAAUGUCUUUGCCCAUAGAACCUACUGCUUAAAAUACCACCAGUCUUAUCAUUUAAGUUUUUUUUUUUUUUGUACCAGGGAUUGAACUCAGGGGCACUUAACCACUGAACCACACCCCCAGGUCCUUUUUAUUUUUAUUUUUUAAAAUUUGCAUUAGUUGCCUAGGGCCUCCCUAAAUUGCUGAAGCUGGCUUUGAAUUUGCAAUCCUUCUGCUUCAGCCUCCCAAGCCGCCAGGAUGACAGGCAGAUGCCACCACCCCCGGUUCAUCUUUCAAAUUUAACUUAYGAUUUCUAUUCCACGGUUAUCUUGAAUGCUGUGCUUAUUUCUUCUUCACAAGGGUCAGGAUCCCAGAGAAACUCUUAGGAUCAACCAAAUUCUGUAGAACUACGUGAACAKUUGGGUCGGGUAGCCAACAUAUAUAUGGGUGAUGCUUAAUUUUAGGGGUUGCUGGGACCAGGCUGUGUAGCCAGAUACUUGGUCAGACACUGGUCUCGAUGUUGCUGUAAAGGCGUUUGUUGGUUGUGAUUAACUUUUUAAUGGGUAGACUUUGAGUAAAGCAGACCAUCCCCCAUAUUGUGAGUGGGCCUCAUGCAAUCAGUUGAAGGUCUUCAGAGAAAAAAGGCCAGGGUCCUCAAGAAGGGAGAACUUUUGCAAGAAGACCGCCCUGGGACUCSGGACUGCAGCACCGGCACUUGCUGGAUUUCCCAGCUGCCACUCUACCCAGUGGGUUCUGAACUUGCCAGCCCCCUACACUCAUGUGAUUUAUUUCAUCCUUAAAAUAAACCUCUCUUUCUCUGGGAUCUACAGUGAGGAAGGUGGAGGUAGGAAGGGAGAGAGGGGGGACUACAUACAGGUCGCAGUGGGAGGGAGGGAUGCAAAGUGUGCCCUAACCUCCUCCAUAGAGUUCCCCCCAACUUCUGCUCUUUUUAACCCCGAACCAGCCACCGACAAGACCUUUGAGGCAAAUGUGCCGAGUUUCCAAGAACGUGAUCUGCGGGAGCCACAGAGGCCUCCCUCGCUGUCCRGUCCCUUCACCCUUGUCACAGUGACCCCAGUGAGAGGGACAAUGCAGCAGAGAAGCCUGCGCCCCGCCCCUCCUGGGACUGGACUCUCCACCUGGCUGUCACAUGGAACCUGCGCCCUUUCUCCCAGUGGGAAGGACGGUCACUCCCAACCCAAGGUGUCUCCCAGUUGCCCCGCACAGCUGCGCUCUCAGCGCACCCCAGAGCUCAGACAGAUUUCAUCUUCUGGAGAUAAUCAACACAGAACCCUGAAUUUGGAAACCGUUGUCCGAUCUCCAAGAAGAUCCUUACCACGAGGGAUCGGGGGAUACAGAAUGAAGUUGCAUCGCGUGGGGAAAUGGGAGAAGCCCAGGAAUGGCAGUCGCAGCGAGAAGGGGGAGGAAGAGAAUCAGAACGCAGCAUCCUCCGAGUUGGUCGGCCCAGGGAAGGGGACACACCCCUCUUUUCAUCUGGAGGGAAAAUCCUCGACAAAAGCAAUCUCAGCUCUCUGACUUUCAGAGUCCCCAACCAAGAGAGUAGCAGCUCAGCAUGGAGCCACACAAGUUGUCCCCAGGCUGCAGAGGAUGGGGCCCGAAGGGCUCACUCAAGAGGAAGCAUCUUGGGAGAAGCUGAAUCAAAGGAUAAGAUGAGCACAUUCCCUGGGGAUGGGUAAAGGGGAGAGAGAGAGAGAGAGAGAGAGAGAGAGAGAGACUUCGAGGAUGAGCUGAGGAGACAGAAACCACAGAGAUGAGACAGGAGAGGGAUACCUCAAAGCAGAGACCUGGAAAUANNNNNNNNGAAACUUUCAAAGUCAAGAAAAUACGUUCAACAGGAGAGAGAGAGAGAGAGAGAGAGAGAGAGAGAGAGAGAGAGAGAGAGAGAGAGACUGCGAGGAUGAGCUGAGGAGACAGAAACCACAGAGAUGAGACAGGAGAGGGAUACCUCAAAGCAGAGACCUGGAAAUAAAACCUAAGAAACUUUCA
Urocitellus parryii (Arctic ground squirrel) is the source of this 2373-nucleotide long non-coding RNA. The record is from Ensembl. Lineage: Eukaryota; Metazoa; Chordata; Mammalia; Rodentia; Sciuridae.